Molecule: non-coding RNA, 212 nt
Organism: Candidatus Stoquefichus sp. KLE1796
Lineage: Bacteria; Bacillati; Bacillota; Erysipelotrichia; Erysipelotrichales; Erysipelotrichaceae
Source: Rfam
ACAUAGCAUGCGUAUUCGAUAAGCAUUGAAAUCAAAAAAGAUUUUUCCCAUUUUCAAUAUGGGCUUUUUUGUCAUGCUUAUUUUGCGUAUGCUAUACAACAAAACUAACGACGUAUAGACAUAGUAUAAAAACUAUGCCUUAAUUUUGUUGUAGUAUUAUAUGUAUAAAUGCAGGUCAAUGCUCAUGUUGAGAAUUGACCUGCAUUUUUUUG